GACGAACGCUGGCGGCGUGCCUAAUACAUGCAAGUAGAACGCUGAAGAGAGGAGCUUGCUCUUCUUGGAUGAGUUGCGAACGGGUGAGUAACGCGUAGGUAACCUGCCUGGUAGCGGGGGAUAACUAUUGGAAACGAUAGCUAAUACCGCAUAAAAUUGAUUAUUGCAUGAUAAUUAAUUGAAAGAUGCAACUGCAUCACUACCAGAUGGACCUGCGUUGUAUUAGCUAGUUGGUGAGGUAACGGCUCACCAAGGCGACGAUACAUAGCCGACCUGAGAGGGUGAUCGGCCACACUGGGACUGAGACACGGCCCAGACUCCUACGGGAGGCAGCAGUAGGGAAUCUUCGGCAAUGGGGGGAACCCUGACCGAGCAACGCCGCGUGAGUGAAGAAGGUUUUCGGAUCGUAAAGCUCUGUUGUAAGAGAAGAACGGGUGUGAGAGUGGAAAGUUCACACUGUGACG
Molecule: ribosomal RNA, 464 nt
Filed under: Streptococcus sanguinis
Lineage: Bacteria; Bacillati; Bacillota; Bacilli; Lactobacillales; Streptococcaceae
Description: bacterial SSU rRNA
Rfam family: Bacterial small subunit ribosomal RNA
Source: RNAcentral